Molecule: ribosomal RNA, 254 nt
Filed under: uncultured bacterium
Lineage: Bacteria
Description: partial 16S ribosomal RNA
Rfam family: Bacterial small subunit ribosomal RNA
Source: RNAcentral
UACGAAGGGGGCUAGCGUUGCUCGGAAUCACUGGGCGUAAAGCGCACGUAGGCGGACUCUUAAGUCGGUGGUGAAAUCCUGGAGCUCAACUCCAGAACUGCCUCCGAUACUGGGAGUCUCCGAGUCCGGGAGAGGUGAGUGGAACUGCGAGUGUAGAGGUGAAAUUCGUAGAUAUUCGCAAGAACACCAGUGGCGAAGGCGGCUCACUGGCCCGGUACUGACGCUGAGGUGCGAAAGCGUGGGGAGCAAACAGG